This 483-nucleotide ribosomal RNA is filed under the name uncultured bacterium. RNAcentral's name for it is "partial 16S ribosomal RNA". It matches the Rfam family "Bacterial small subunit ribosomal RNA", at positions 28 to 523 of the family's 1533-position model. The record is from RNAcentral.
GACGAACGCUGGCGGCGUGCUUAACACAUGCAAGUCGAACGAUGAAGCCGGAGCUUGCUCCGGUGGAUUAGUGGCGAACGGGUGAGUAACACGUGAGCAAUCUGCCCUUGACUCUGGGAUAACUGCGGGAAACUGUAGCUAAUACCGGAUACGACACCUUGGGGCAUCCCAGGGUGUGGAAAGAAUUUCGGUCAAGGAUGAGCUCGCGGCCUAUCAGCUAGUUGGUGAGGUAAUGGCUCACCAAGGCGACGACGGGUAGCCGGCCUGAGAGGGUGGCCGGCCACACUGGAACUGAGACACGGUCCAGACUCCUACGGGAGGAAGCAGUGGGGAAUAUUGCACAAUGGGCGAAAGCCUGAUGCGGCAACGCCGCGUGAGGGAUGAAGGCCUUCGGGUUGUAAACCUCUUUUAGCAGGAAAGAAGCGAAAGUGACGGUACCUGCAGAAAAAGCACCGGCUAACUACGUGCCAGCCGCCGCAGUAA